This is a long non-coding RNA of Neopelma chrysocephalum (saffron-crested tyrant-manakin), 441 nucleotides long. RefSeq lists it as uncharacterized. The record is from RefSeq and is a predicted model, not a curated record. Lineage: Eukaryota; Metazoa; Chordata; Aves; Passeriformes; Pipridae. The transcript is spliced from 2 exons.
UCCCAGUUGCCCCCAGACAUCCACAGUUGCUCCCCCAGUGGCUCCCAGUUACCUCCCAGUUGGGUCCCCAAAGGCUCCCAGUUGCCCCAAGUGACUCCCAGUCGCCCCCCCCAGUAGUUCCCAGUUGUCCCCAGUGACUCCCAAGGGUUCCCAGUUGCCCCCCCCCAGUAGUUCCCAGUUGUCCCCAGUGGCUCCCAGUGCCCCCAGUAUCCCCCCCCUCCCCAGAGCAUGCGGCUCAAGCUCAUCGCCAGCAAUUCCACGAUGGAGCGGCGCUUCAGCCCCUGGAUCGGGGGCUCCAUCCUGGCCUCGCUCGGCACCUUCCAGCAGAUGUGGAUCUCCAAGCAGGAGUACGAGGAGGGCGGGAAGCAGUGCGUGGAGAGGAAGUGUCCCUGAGGGGGAAAAGAAAUGGGGGGAAAUCAAUAAAAAAAUCGGUGAAAUCCA